RNAcentral lists this non-coding RNA (30 nucleotides) under Mus musculus (house mouse). Lineage: Eukaryota; Metazoa; Chordata; Mammalia; Rodentia; Muridae. The record is from RNAcentral.
UCACAACAGUUUAGAGGACUUAAGGAGGCC